GCCUACAUGAAGCCGGAGUUGCUAGUAAUCGCGGAUCAGAAUGUCGCGGUGAAUGCGUUCCCGGGUCUUGUACACACCGCCCGUCACACCAUGGGAGUCGGAAAUGCCCGAAGCCAGUGAGCUAACCUAUUUAUAGGAGGCAGCUGUCGAAGGUAGGGUCGAUGACUAGGGUGAAGUCGUAACAAGGUAGCCGUAUCGGAAGGUGCGGCUGGAUCACCUCCUUU
RNAcentral lists this non-coding RNA (224 nucleotides) under Tissierella creatinophila DSM 6911. RNAcentral's name for it is "Bacterial small subunit ribosomal RNA". It matches the Rfam family "Bacterial small subunit ribosomal RNA", at positions 1314 to 1533 of the family's 1533-position model. Lineage: Bacteria; Bacillati; Bacillota; Tissierellia; Tissierellales; Tissierellaceae. The record is from Rfam by way of RNAcentral.